RNAcentral lists this ribosomal RNA (558 nucleotides) under uncultured bacterium. RNAcentral describes it as "partial 16S ribosomal RNA". It matches the Rfam family "Bacterial small subunit ribosomal RNA", at positions 355 to 922 of the family's 1533-position model. The record is from RNAcentral.
UGGGGAAUAUUGCACAAUGGGCGAAAGCCUGAUGCAGCAACGCCGCGUGCGGGAUGACGGCCUUCGGGUUGUAAACCGCUUUCAGCAGGGACGAAGGUUUUCUGACGGUACCUGCAGAAGAAGCACCGGCUAACUACGUGCCAGCAGCCGCGGUGAUACGUAGGGUGCGAGCGUUGUCCGGAAUUAUUGGGCGUAAAGAGCUUGUAGGCGGUCCGUUGCGUCGGAAGUGAAAACUCAGGGCUUAACCCUGAGCCUGCUUUCGAUACGGGCGGACUUGAGGGAUGUAGGGGAGAACGGAAUUCCUGGUGGAGCGGUGGAAUGCGCAGAUAUCAGGAGGAACACCAGUGGCGAAGGCGGUUCUCCGGACAUUUCCUGACGCUGAGAAGCGAAAAGCGUGGGGAGCAAACAGGCUUAGAUACCCUGGUAGUCCACGCCGUAAACGGUGGGCACUAGGUGUGGGACCCAUUCCACGGGUUCCGUGCCGUAGCUAACGCAUUAAGUGCCCCGCCUGGGGAGUACGGCCGCAAGGCUAAAACUCAAAUGAAUUGACGGGGUCAU